Molecule: non-coding RNA, 25 nt
Filed under: Mus musculus (house mouse)
Lineage: Eukaryota; Metazoa; Chordata; Mammalia; Rodentia; Muridae
Source: RNAcentral
UACACUUUGCUGUGGAUUAGUGUUG